This 117-nucleotide non-coding RNA is filed under the name Pan paniscus (pygmy chimpanzee). The record is from Rfam by way of RNAcentral. RNAcentral also lists the same sequence under 1 other name. Lineage: Eukaryota; Metazoa; Chordata; Mammalia; Primates; Hominidae.
GCUGGGCACGGUGGCUCAUGCCUGUAAUCCCAGCACUUUGGGAGGCAGAGGUGGGCGGAUCACCUGAGGUCAGGAGUUCAAGACCAGCCUGGCCAACAUGGUGAAACCCCAUCUCUA